RNAcentral lists this ribosomal RNA (504 nucleotides) under uncultured bacterium. Its description in RNAcentral is "bacterial SSU rRNA". It matches the Rfam family "Bacterial small subunit ribosomal RNA", at positions 28 to 507 of the family's 1533-position model. The record is from RNAcentral.
GACGAACGCUGGCGGCGUGCCUAACACAUGCAAGUCGCGCGAGAAAGACCCCUUCCGGGGGUGAGUACAGCGGCGGACGGGUGAGUAACACGUGAGCGAUCUACCCGGUGGCCGGGGGACAACCCAGGGAAACCUGGGCUAAUACCGCAUACAGCGGAGGGAGUAGGUGCCCUUCGUGAAAGCUGGCCUCUCCUUGGAAGCCAGCGCCGCCGGAGGAGCUCGCGGCCUAUCAGCUAGUUGGUGGGGUAACGGCCUACCAAGGCUAUGACGGGUAGCUGACGUGAGAGCGUGAGCAGCCACACUGGGACUGAGACACGGCCCAGACUCCUACGGGAGGCAGCAGUGGGGAAUAUUGCGCAAUGGGCGAAAGCCUGACGCAGCGACGCCGCGUGGGGGAGGAAGGCCUUAGGGUUGUAAACCCCUGUCAGGUGGGACGAACCCCGGGUCGGUGAAUAGCCGGCCCGACUGACGGUACCACCAGAGGAAGCUCCGGCUAACUCCGUG